CAAGUGACCCCGGUCUAACCACCGGGAUGUUCAUAACCCUUUGUUGUCCGACUCUGUUGCCUCCGGGGCAACCCUGCCUUCGGGCGGGGGCUCCGGGUGGACACUUCAAACUCUUGCGUAACUUUGCAGUCUGAGUAAACUUAAUUAAUAAAUUA
This 155-nucleotide unclassified non-coding RNA is filed under the name soil metagenome. Its description in RNAcentral is "partial internal transcribed spacer 1". The record is from RNAcentral.